This is a long non-coding RNA of Hydractinia symbiolongicarpus, 1031 nucleotides long. RefSeq lists it as uncharacterized. The transcript has 3 exons. The record is from RefSeq and is a predicted model, not a curated record. Lineage: Eukaryota; Metazoa; Cnidaria; Hydrozoa; Anthoathecata; Hydractiniidae.
ACAACUGACUUAAACCUGGGUCGCGAUGGUUGACUGGACACCGCACCUCAUAAUUCAUGUCUCAUACCUCACACUUUUAAACACGUGUAGAACUUUUUACAGCAACCUAGUCUUCAUUAGUUAUGUUAUUUUCGGAUAUUCUUUAGAUCCAAUGUUUACAAUUUCUAAGAAAGGUGUUAACACCCGAAUUAAAUAUAACUGACACCAAAUCAAAGCGGAAAUAAUAGACUAAGUACAGUAUUUGGGAACUAAUAUUCUUUAACUUUUUUGUAAAACAUAUUCCCCAAGCGUAGGUUUUUAGUUUAAUUGUUUUUUGUGUUUAUUAUAACUACCCAGUAAGGAAUUAAUAAUGACAUUGUAUCUUGUCUAUGUCAUUUAUUAUGUUAUUCAUACCACGGUUACUGAUAUCCCACGACAUUUUUAGAAUAGAAAUUCAUUAACCAAAACGAUUCAAUUCUGUGCUUUGUCGAAAUUAGCCGCGUUGAGCGAGGGAGAAGAGUUUUUGAAGACGAGAAAAGAUAAAAAUGAAACUAACAGUGGUUGGGAAGAAAAUUGCAGUAGCCGAUGAAUGACAAAAGAAAAUUCAGAAGAAAGAAAAGAAAAUACGUCAGACUGAACCAUGUUUGGUUUCAGAUGGAAAGAGCAAUGUUAAGAGCCCAGUGGAGUUAGAAUCGAGGAUAGUGGGUCGCUGUAUGUGAUUUUUUACUUUUUAACAUAUUUUUAUUAUAUUGCGUACCGUGUGCAAUUAACCUGUACGACAAACUGCAAUAUAUAAAAACUGCAAUAUAUAUAAAAGUUCUAUGCUCUUACACUUUAAUUUGCGAACGUUUCGCGUAUGUAUAUUUUAUACAUUUUUCCCGCGUAUUUAUUUUCCCGCACCAAGCCUUUUGGACAGAUUUAAGUAUUGCGCGCUCCUUGCAGGUUUUAUAGUUACGCUUAUUCUAAUUUUCACGAGGCUCCUGAAAAAUAAUAUACCGCGCACAUUAAUUAUAAUUUACGAAAGUAUUCGGCUUUUCUCACAUAUUGUUGCA